Molecule: ribosomal RNA, 246 nt
Filed under: uncultured bacterium
Lineage: Bacteria
Description: partial 16S ribosomal RNA
Rfam family: Bacterial small subunit ribosomal RNA
Source: RNAcentral
GAUCAUGGCUCAGGACGAACGCUGGCGGCGUGCUUAACACAUGCAAGUCGAACGAGAGGACAAGAGAAGCUUGCUUCUUUUGAAAUCGAGUGGCAAACGGGUGAGUAACACGUAAACAACCUGCCUUCAGGAUGGGGACAACAGGCGGAAACGACUGCUAAUACCGAAUACGCUUGGGAGACCGCAUGAUCUUCCAAGGAAAGGGUGGCCUCUACCUGUAAGCUAUCGCCUGAAGAGGGGUUUGCG